This 480-nucleotide ribosomal RNA is filed under the name uncultured bacterium. RNAcentral's name for it is "bacterial SSU rRNA". It matches the Rfam family "Bacterial small subunit ribosomal RNA", at positions 26 to 518 of the family's 1533-position model. The record is from RNAcentral.
AGGACGAACGCUGGCGGCACGCCUAACACAUGCAAGUCGAACGAAGCUAAUAGAGCUUGCUUUAUUAGCUUAGUGGCGGACGGGUGAGUAACACGUGAGCAACCUGCCUUAAAGAGGGGGACAACAGUUGGAAACGACUGCUAAUACCGCAUAAAGUUAUUUUAGGACAUCCUUAAAUAACCAAAGGAGCAAUCCGCUUUAAGAUGGGCUCGCGUCUGAUUAGCUAGUUGGUGAGGUAACGGCCCGCCAAGGCGACGAUCAGUAGCCGGACUGAGAGGUUGAUCGGCCACAUUGGGACUGAGACACGGCCCAGACUCCUACGGGAGGCAGCAGUGGGGGAUAUUGGUCAAUGGGGGGAAACCCUGAACCAGCGAUGCCGCGUGAGGGAAGAAGGUUUUCGGAUUGUAAACCUCUGUCAUCGGGGAAGAUAAUGACGGUACCCGAGAAGGAAGCCACGGCUAACUACGUGCCAGCCGCAGC